CCUACGGGUGGCAGCAGUGAGGAAUAUUGGUCAAUGGGCGAGAGCCUGAACCAGCCAAGUCGCGUGAAGGAUGACGGCCCUACGGGUUGUAAACUUCUUUUGUCAGGGAGCAAUUGAGUCCACGUGUGGUCUUAGCGAGAGUACCUGACGAAACAGCAUCGGCAAACUCCGUGCCAGCAGCCGCGGUAAUACGUAGGAUGCGGGCGUUAUCCGGAUUGAUUGGGUUUAAAGGGUGUGUAGGCGGAAUAUCAAGUCAGCGGUAAAAAUUCGGGGCUAAACCCCGUCGUGCCGUUGAAACUGAUGUUCUUGAGUGGGCGAGAGGUAUGCGGAAUGCGAGGUGUAGCGGUGAAAUGCAUAGAUAUCACGCAGAACUCCGAUUGCGAAGGCAGCAUACCGGCGCCCAACUGACGCUGAAGCACGAAAGCGUGGGUAUCGAACAGGAUUAGAUACCCGUGUAGUC
Molecule: ribosomal RNA, 460 nt
Filed under: uncultured bacterium
Lineage: Bacteria
Description: partial 16S ribosomal RNA
Rfam family: Bacterial small subunit ribosomal RNA
Source: RNAcentral